AUAUAUCUGCCACCGGGUAGAAAAUGCGAAAGCAUUCGCUGUAUGUCGUUAGGUCUUUGAAGAUAUACAGUCGAAUGCUUUUUUGUUC
Molecule: non-coding RNA, 88 nt
Filed under: unclassified sequences
Source: RNAcentral